This 460-nucleotide ribosomal RNA is filed under the name uncultured bacterium. RNAcentral's name for it is "partial 16S ribosomal RNA". It matches the Rfam family "Bacterial small subunit ribosomal RNA", at positions 338 to 795 of the family's 1533-position model. The record is from RNAcentral.
CCUACGGGAGGCAGCAGUGAGGAAUAUUGGUCAAUGGACGAGAGUCUGAACCAGCCAAGUAGCGUGAAGGAUGACUGCCCUAUGGGUUGUAAACUUCUUUUAUAUGGGAAUAAAACGUUCCACGUGUGGGAUUUUGUAUGUACCAUAUGAAUAAGGAUCGGCUAACUCCGUGCCAGCAGCCGCGGUAAUACGGAGGAUCCGAGCGUUAUCCGGAUUUAUUGGGUUUAAAGGGAGCGUAGGUGGAUUGUUAAGUCAGUUGUGAAAGUUUGCGGCUCAACCGUAAAAUUGCAGUUGAAACUGGCAGUCUUGAGUACAGUAGAGGUGGGCGGAAUUCGUGGUGUAGCGGUGAAAUGCUUAGAUAUGACGAAGAACUCCGAUUGCGAAGGCAGUUCACUGGACUGCAACUGACACUGAGGCUCGAAAGUGUGGGUAUCAAACAGGAUUAGAUACCCGAGUAGUC